This 1050-nucleotide long non-coding RNA is filed under the name Mus musculus (house mouse). Its description in RNAcentral is "predicted gene 14461". The record is from RNAcentral. Lineage: Eukaryota; Metazoa; Chordata; Mammalia; Rodentia; Muridae.
CAUGUCACUCAAACCAGCUGUAUUAAGGAAGGUGCAAGCUUUUGGGAUUUCUGUUUGGAUUUAGUUUAGGUUCAAAAGAGCACGCACAGAUCCUGAGUGUUGUCAAGCACCCGUGACUGGGAAACGGAGGCGUCCGAUCCGUAUUGGAGUCAAUUCGCCACUUAAUUGAACACAGCCUCGAAGGGAAGGGCCAUAUUUGUGGGCCUGUCUAACAAUUAAGAGUGACCACAUGGAAUGGGGGAUGAAAGGGUUAAAGAAGAACAAAUAUUGAACACAGCUUUUCUAUGAACAAACUGCAGGCAGCUGCUGCUUUGCAAGUUUCAGGGGUUACUCCAUCAUUAUCAUGGCAGGGAACAUGGCAGGAUGCAGGCAGAUGGUAGCUGAGAGUUCUACAUCUGGAUCCACAAAAAACCCUUUGAAAAGAUUCAGCACGUUGCCAUGGAGAACAUCCCACUGAAGGAAUGUAUAGAAGUAGCAGGGUUAACUGAGUGCCUUCCAUCUUCCCUCCAAGGGAUCUGCAAUGAGAUGGGAGAAGGCAACAGGCUGUGUGGGAACCACUGAAGCUGGGAUGGCAGGGAAAGAACAUCUUAGGCUAACUCUUCAAGCCUUGCUGUCACAUUUGCUUUUGAGUCUAUGGUGUCAGCUGCCUACCAGUUGCUUUCAUCUCUAGAAAUCUGUGACUUGCAGUAUGACAAGAACAAAAGGUGACAAUACAAAGGACAAAGGGCAAGGAAUACAGACGGAGAAGCCGCUUAGAGUCUAGGAUGGCAGAGGUUCUCUUGAUCAUUUCAUUUUUGAGCGCUUGUAGAGCUUUGGUGUACCAGAGGUGCUUGAACAGCUUACCACACCACAGAUGAAUGGCCUUUGGAUUUCUCCUAAGAAAAUGUGGCUACCUGAAAUUCAACUCCAUUUUCUGGUCUUCAAUAUUUCUUUUGUGUUCAGUUUGCCAGCUGAGGAGAAGUGGCUAAGCAUAGCCUGUUACUGAUGCUAAAGCCCAAGUUCUGAACCUAACAACUCCAGCAACAUGAUCCUGUUUCAAGAGACAAAAAA